CCUACGGGUGGCAGCAGUGGGGAAUAUUGGACAAUGGGGGGAACCCUGAUCCAGCCAUGCCGCGUGUGUGAAGAAGGCCCUCGGGUUGUAAAGCACUUUCAGUGAGGAAAAACGCCUGGUGGUUAAUACCCAUCAGGAAAGACAUCACUCACAGAAGAAGCACCGGCUAACUCCGUGCCAGCAGCCGCGGUAAUACGGAGGGUGCGAGCGUUAAUCGGAAUUACUGGGCGUAAAGCGCGCGUAGGUGGCUUGAUAAGCCGGUUGUGAAAGCCCCGGGCUCAACCUGGGAACGGCAUCCGGAACUGUCAAGCUAGAGUGCAGGAGAGGAAGGUAGAAUUCCCGGUGUAGCGGUGAAAUGCGUAGAGAUCGGGAGGAAUACCAGUGGCGAAGGCGGCCUUCUGGACUGACACUGACACUGAGGUGCGAAAGCGUGGGUAGCAAACAGGAUUAGAUACCCUUGUAGUC
RNAcentral lists this ribosomal RNA (465 nucleotides) under Vreelandella stevensii. Its description in RNAcentral is "partial 16S ribosomal RNA". It matches the Rfam family "Bacterial small subunit ribosomal RNA", at positions 338 to 795 of the family's 1533-position model. The record is from RNAcentral. Lineage: Bacteria; Pseudomonadati; Pseudomonadota; Gammaproteobacteria; Oceanospirillales; Halomonadaceae.